UAUUAAACGUUGAUGAGACCAGUAGGUAUAGUAGAGAUUUCAGAGAGCUAACGGUAGCUGUGAGUUAGUAUUGAAGCUAUAUUGAAUAACGACUCGGAGUUUCUAACUGAAGGGCACUUUGAGGCCUGCGUAGGAUUAGAGGGUUAAAACCCUUAUAUUUUAGAGUGGCUUUUUUUAAGCAACUAGGGUGGCACCGCGAAAGUAUGUCCUUCGUCCCUAUU
Molecule: non-coding RNA, 221 nt
Filed under: Clostridium bornimense
Lineage: Bacteria; Bacillati; Bacillota; Clostridia; Eubacteriales; Clostridiaceae
Description: T-box sequence
Rfam family: T-box leader
About the family: Uncharged tRNA acts as the effector for transcription antitermination of genes in the T-box leader family. T-boxes are found upstream of many aminoacyl-tRNA synthetase genes and some amino acid biosynthetic genes usually in Gram-positive bacteria. The anticodon of a specific tRNA base pairs to a specifier sequence within the T-box motif, and the NCCA acceptor tail of the tRNA base pairs to a conserved bulge in the T-box antiterminator hairpin.
Source: RNAcentral